GAAAAUACGUGAUGUGAUGCAGGAUAAUUGAAAUUCAGUUUAGAUCAUAAUGAAAUAUUGAAGAAUUCAAUUUGAAGUAUACAGCUCAUUUGUUUGCUAUAAUAACACAAGCCGCCCAAAAUCUCCCAACAAUAUUUUAAUGACGAAAUAUGAUGAAUAAACAAAAAAUUAAGAUGGAUAGAGAAGAUUAGUUCCAAAUAUAGAAGACGGAAUUUGUGAAGUUGAAGGCUGAUUAUUUCCAUUGCAUUUAGCGAGCAUACAAUACAAGGUUGUGGAUUUCAAAAUUAGAUAGAAAGAUAAAUCCUUAUUAACCAAAGCAUUGAGCAGUAGGAAGCGGGCCGGGAAUGGAUCCCUGCUGAAAGAAUUGGAAAGCAAAGACAAGGAUGAUGGCUAAGAAGGAGAGAUAGGAGAGGCCCUCAACAGCUCCCAAUAGGCCAAAGGGCCCGUUGGGGAGGCCCGAGCCCGUCUUGGUCUUGGUGUAGAGCGACCACGCCACAAUGCCCACCACCACCAGGUAGCUCACUCCUUCAAGUGCGCCUAUAGACCCCGCUGGCCCGGGCGGAAGUCCGCACCCAGUUGUCUUCAGCGUGUAAAGGGACCAACCGAUCACCGGCGUCGCCACUAGUCCGCCCACGAUGGCGCCGGCCUCUACGGCGGUGACGCCGCUCUCCUUGGCCAUGCCCUGUACUUUGAGCAUUGGCGGCUGCCUCAAUUUGGUGAAUUUAUGGCGGCUGGUUGCCGGCGCCGACCAAGGCGAAAAUUGUAACAGCAUCAUUUGGAGACGAUUUGCUGUUGAGCUUAAGCUUUUCCGAUGAAAUUUCGUUUAUUAUUGGUCACCUUAUCCACUUUCAACGACACCAAUUUCAGGAUUGCUAAACCACAUGAUUUCGGGCUUUUUCGGCAUUUUACACUAGAGAUAGAUAGGGCCAGGGGCCUGUUUGUUGCCAACAGGAAAAAAUAUAAUCCUUUUUUUUUUGGAAUGAGCUACACCUAAAUUCAUUUAUAUACAUACCAAGUUUAUUAUUUAUAUAAUUGGUUGUUAUUAAGAUAUUCAAUUAUUGAAAAAUAAAAGAAAACAUCCACGAUAGCCAAAGUUGUUAUUUUAAUACCACUAAAUAAAUCUGUGAUAGAAUUGGAUUAUUUGCAAGUGACAAAAAAGCGAGUACACCAGCACAGCCUAAUUCAUUAGGACAUUUUGAAUAAGCAAGCCCAAAAAUAAAUCCAAAGUGGUUGGCGAAGGGCUGGGCUGAUUGGCGCAAAAUGCUAAAAGCCCAUCAUGUAUUCCCCACAGCACGAGAGCCUAGCCUUCAAUCACCUGCAAGUUCACCAAUAAUUACUUUCAGCUAGUAUAAAAAAAUUAAAUAACUCCAUGACAAUGGAUUCAUGCAUAUGCACGUGCUCACAAAACGACGCCGCCUUGGCAAUUUUUUUGACUGAUCCAGUAGAAACAUACACGUUUGUACAAGUUUUUUCAAUUUCUUUUUUCCCUCUAAAAAAAAUGUUUAAAAAAAUGCGAAGAGAGUUUCGAGUAUUUUCCAAUUCUUUCCUUUCCUUUUCUGCCGUCGCGACAACUGAGUUGCGGAGCGAGUUGAAUCACAGGCACAGGCACAACUGAAGCGAAGCGGGAAAUAAACCACUUUUUAAACAUUCAUUUUCAUGCUGUCCACCCAUAACAUAAUUUCCCUCCAAAAUAUUGUCUAGGGACACUUGCAAACCAUUACUAAUUUCAAGUUUUCCACCCUUGUUGGAUAUAAACACAACCGCCAUUUUCUAUCGGUGCUUCGAUGACUUGCUGUACUGCACGAUGUCGGCUUCUUCUUCCUCACCAUCAUCCCCAUCAUCAUCAUCAUCAUCCCCAUUUCUCUUCCUUUUAUUAUUAUGGGAAGAAGAUGAAGGCGGCAAUUCCUGGACCUCACCAUCUUGGUCAUCUUCAUCUUCAACAUCUUCCUCCAAUUCAGGGUCUUCACCUUCUCCCACAUCACUACCCCCAACAGCAACACCAUCUUCUGCUUCCACCCGCUCCACUGGUUGAACCAGGUAUCCAGCAGACCCAUAAUCAUCUUCCUGCAAUCAACCACCCAACAAAUAAAUCACCGGCCGUGAAAACUCAAACUACACACACCUAAAUCUAUAAUCUAAACAAACAAAAACCACCACGAAACUGCAGCAAAUUUAAAGAAAAAACUGCUGAACAUGGUCAAAACUAACACACAGAAAAGAUCCCUCGACACUAAUCAAAAAGGGCAUUGCAUACACACUGGGAUACAGAUAAUUAAAGAAAAACCUAGUUCAAGUCUCAGAAGGUAAACCAAUAGGUAGCACUCCACUUUCACCUGAUACUGAAACCAUUGGUCAUAAACGAAUUUCGCCUAGUACUCCAUAUGUUCAUUGCACAUUGCUUAACUAAAAGUGAAUACAUGGCACAACAUUCAUAGACACUAUAUGUCCAAUACUAUGUUUGUUCCUUCCUGACAUCAUAGAGGGAUUCAUAUGUUGGGUUAAGACACAAUUUACAUUAAUUCAGAGAAACUCUGGAUAUCAUUUCAAUAAAAACAAGUCAUGCAUCCUGCAACAUUAUUGAAUCAUAAAAAACAGAGGCAAAUGCAAUUAAAUUAAGAGAAUCAAAACAGAUCUAGUAUUACAAUAAAAUUCUCAAAUAUGGUGCAAGAACAAAACAAAUUGUAACAACCAAUUCUAAAAAAUAAAAUCAUGCAUUAAAAGCGCCAGGGAGUUGGGUGGUUCCAAUAAAUCAAAACCACAGUUAUGCCACCCAAUUGUUUUUUACCUGGAAAACAUAAAACUUGAAUAAAAUCACACAUUUUGAAAAAAAGGUACUUCCAGUACUUACAAAUAAAAUUAUUAAAACCAAUGAUCUCUACUUGAAAAGAGAGGGGGAAAAAGAACACACUCGAUUAAAAUAAAUAUUUCCAAUCAAGCGCUGGGAAAAAAAGAAAUGGAUUUUCCAGUAAGUUUAAAUCAACAAUAGUAAACCCAUUUUUAACCAGAAAAUAGGGAGCAGAUAACUGUGUAGAUCAAAUUUUCAAAAAAUUUUGAUUAGGCAAGCUUACUGAAACAGGGAGCACAUAAAAUUUUGAUUAGGCAAGCUUACUCAUCAAUAAGUCAAAAACGCAAGUUUAUUAACAAAGAUAAAGUCAAAUCUCAAGAACAAGAUUGAAAGGCAGUUUCUUUACAACAGCAGGCCAUCUUGCAAAGGUUUAAAUCACCCAAAAACCUUGUAUGUGUCACUGCCACAUAAAAGCUGCAAAAAGCCCUUAAUCUUGCAAUGUAUGACAGACAAGGCAAAGCAAGUUUUGAGAAACAGAAACAUAAAAUGACCGAGGAUGUCCAAGAAAGGCAAAACAUGAGUAAUUAACAAAAACCACUAGACGGUAAAGAAAAACAUACUGCUAUUCAAUUUUAAAUAUAUAUGUAUAUAUAAAAGUGAGUUUGCUUUUACUUUCGGUUCUCAAUUCACAGAAAAAAUAUAACCAGAUUGACAAACCACAUUAAAUAUUUGAUUUUCAAGAUUGUUGGAUAAAAAGUGCCUUUGCUUUUAAUUUGGGCUAAGCUACUGGUGUGCUCAUAGUGAGAUUGAGCGACUAAAUAUAUGCAUUUAUCUCUAAAUUCACCUGCCAAACAGAAACACACAACAGAAUCCAACAGCACAAAAGAAAUAGACUUCAAAGGUAUCAAAGAUAGAAGAAAUUAUACCUCAUCGUCAGCCUCUUCUUCAUCCUCAAAUUCCCCAUCCUCUUCAACUGCCUGCUCUUCCUCCCCCGUCUCCCCAUCAUCAUCCUCGUCAGCGUCGUCCUCCCCCUGCUCGUGUCCAUCAAUUUCCCCCUCCGUGCUUGUAAGCCGCCCAGUACUCUCGGGCUCCCCCAAAUCCCUCUCAUCGUUAUCUACUUCUUCUUCGUCCUCAUCCUCAUCGUCAUCAUCAUCGUCGUCUUCAUCAUCAUCCUCAACACCGUCCUCCACAUCGUCACUGUCAUCUAUCUCGUGGACUUCCACUACAUCCUCAUCAUCACCUUCGUCGUCCUCGUACACUUCCUCCACCGAAUCAUCUUCAUCCUCUCCUUCCUCCUCGUCAUCCUCUCCAUCCACAACCUCCACUUUAAAUCCAUUGGAAUGAUGAUGUGAACUGCCGGCACGACUCAAGCCGUUGAGGGCUCUUGACGUCUCGGCUUCCUCCUCGUCCGCGUCGCUCUCCUCAUCCUCAUCAACAUCCACAACCCCCUCGCUCCCCGCCCUCUGCCCAUUGCUCAGCCUAAACGGGUGGUCCUCGCCAUCUAUCUCUCCACUGCCGGGGUCAUCCUCCUCCUCCUCUUCAUCAUCCUCCUCGUCGUCCGACUCGGGGCGCUCAUUCUCCUCCGCAUCCAUCUUGUCCAAAUAUUUCAAUGACCUAAUCAAACCGAAAACCCGAGAUCGGUAAUCCUUAAUCCGCGUAACAGGACACUCGUAGAGAUCCAAUGAAACCAGCCUCAACUCUGCCAACGGUCUCAGGUCGUUAAUAUCUGAAAUCCUGUUAUUGGACAAAUCAAGGUCCCGUAGCGAUUCCAGCCCGGCUUCGACGAGGAAUUCGAGCCCACCGGCGAUCCGAUUAUCCGACAAAAUAAGCUUCUGCAAAUUCCGGAGGCGGGGGAACUGCUCCAGCGACGAGGCGCCGAUGUUGGCCAUAGAGAGGUGCUGGAGAUUGUGGAACUUUUCGAAGAGCGACGGCGGCGGCAAACGGCCGUGGACGCACUUCACCGCGCCGUCGAGCGUUAACGUCCGAACCAAAUCGAUGUCCGUUUGGCCGUCCAACGCCGUCUCCACGGCCCUCUCCCAGAUCUCAUCCAUUAUUCUGCCAAACCCUAUUUCUCCACUGCAUAAAAACACAUAAGGAAUCCUAUAAUCAAUUCCUAUAACGAUACAGCUUCUGGUGAAAUGGUAAAACCCUAGAAUUUGGCUUAUGUCAAAAUUCUCUCUCUAAAAUUCUCUGUGUAUGUUUCUGAGAUGCUGGCUCGCUAUAAGAUAUUGGAGGUGAGUCACCUCCGAGUUAGAUGAGUUAGGGUUAGUUGGAUUUGAGUUAAGUUUGACCGCGGUAGGGUUAGAUGGAGAGACAAAGGGCGUUUGACGAGUAAGUGAAUGUGAACCGUAGGAUUAGAAAAGCAAGGAUCGAUGACGUGGUUGAAUUAUUGACGGUUGCGAUGGACGAAUGGUGUGUUUGUUUUAAAUGGAAGGAAGAACAAUUUUGAGGCUAGAGAAAGUCACGCGCUCGGCAAGUCUGAUACGUCUCCUUGGGCGGUGUAAAUAGGGCAGCGCGCAGAAGAAUAUGCCCUUUAGAUUCCUUAUAUAUUACGAGAUUGCCAUUGGUAUUUUGAUAGGAGCGUUUCAAUACACGCACAAAUCAUGUUGGAGUGCCUGCUUACUUAAAAUAUGCUCCCUUCGUCCACAAUCAAUUUUUUUUUUUUUUUUCAUUUUAGUACGUUUAUAUUUUUUAAAAAAAAAAAUUCAUAACACAAUUUUCUUUUUUUAUGAAAUCUUUUUUUGUUUUUUGAAACCAUUUCACAACACAAUUUAUUAUAUAUAGAAUCCAAAUUCUAUUUCUCUACCACACAUUUUUAAACAUUACACCACAAUAACACUUUUCAUAUGGAACUCAAACUCCACUUACAAUCCUAUUUAUAAAUGUGGAAUCUAAACUUUACUUAUCCACCACAUAUUUUUAAACACUACCAUAUAAUAUUAUAUUUAUUGUGAGACUCAAAAUCCACUUACAACACACUCCUCUAAUUUUUCUUAAAACCCGCACCAAAAAAAUUUAAGUAACAUUAAUCAUUGCCGGAGGGAGUACAUUUUUAUUUUUAUUGCAAAAUCUACAUUUUAUUGAUGAGCUGAAAUUGUUACUUGCAAGUCUGUCUUUAGUAGCCCAUAUUAGUUCAGAUAGUAAAAAUAACCAUGGUUUAUAUGAUUGUUUGGUAUUUAAAAUAAAUAAAUUGUAAAAUUCGGGAUUAGAGCAAGGCUCACGCUAAAACACUACUCCAUUCGUUCCGGUGUAAUAAACUUAUUUCUUUUAAGUACGUAGAUUAAGAAAAAUACUUACUUUUUGAAUGAAAAGUGGUGUGGUUCACACAACUUUGACAUUUUGAGCACAUUUCUGAUUUUACGACUUAUUAAAUUUAAGAGUGCAAAACUAAAAUGAAAAGUAAUUACAUAAGAAAGGCGGUUGGCACAACAAAUUUUUCAUUUCAAAGCCAAAUCAAAAUUGGCUGCUGAACACAGUGGAAAUUUAACAAAAUUCUGGCUCCACAAUAUUUCAAGCCAAAAUAUAGGAUCAUUUGUAACACUUCGGCUCCAAACUUAACGGAUGUCCCCACACAUCAAUACGAGUCUUUUCUAGCAUGUUUUGUCCUCACUCGCACGCUUCCGGGGAAACUUUUCAGGGGAUCACCCAUCCUGAAAUUGCUUCAAACCAAGCAUGCUUAACCUUGGAGUUUCUUCAACGUAAGCACUAGAAAAAAAAAUGCAUCUUGUUGAUAUGAGUAGCACUUAUCAAAUCAUUUAAGCUCUCCUCGAAUAUGUCGUCUCAUUCUAACAUAUUCUCAGAAUCCAUCUUGUUUGGAUGUGUUUCGAUUCAUCCUUGUGCCCCUCCGCUUGGAAGUCUUAAUCGGAGUCGCUCCUUGUCCGUGCCUCUUUUGGACCGGUGAUCACUUCGCACUUUAUCCCCGUGCGUCACAGCAUUCUAAAGCUUCCCAACAAAUAAGCUUAUGUUUAUACACCAUUUUAGAUCUCCUUCUUAAUUCUUUCUCUUCAAAAACUUCACAACAUGCACUUCAAAGAUGUUAGUGAGCAACAAAAGAUGAUGGUUGUGCAAUUUCUUUUCCAAAACUCAAAGGAUGGGAAGCCAAUCUACGGCAAAAUGAAGGAAUGCAGCACCAAAUUCAACUUAGCGAGGCAGACGAUCACUCGUUUAUAGGCUGAAGCAAGGAAAUAAAAGACACAAUGCCAGAUUAUUAAUUUAACCACCAAAAGAUAAAUGCACAACGAUUCACAAAACGAGUACAAAUAGAUCUAGAACAGUCCAGUCUUUGAUACUUUGUAGAAGAGGCACAGUUAGGAAGCUAGCAAUAAGCAUAGAUUGUAGUAAGAGCACAGUGGGAAGAUGGGUUCAUCUAGGGUUAAUCAGAGCUCAUACACGUGUCCUUAAGCAUAUCUUACGACCCCAAUAAGCUUCUCUUAUUAAGGUUUUCUCUUCAAGUCUUAGAGCAUGAUAUGAUUGCUAAUAUUAUGAAAUUUAAGACUAUGCACAACAACAUACACAUAAAUGAGAAAUGGUUCUACAUGACAAAAGCUUCACAUCGGUUUUAUCUCACUCAAGAGGAGCCUGAACCACACAGAAGCUGUAAAAGCAAAAAAAUCAUCACCAAGGUGAUGCUUAUGUGCGCGAUUUGCAGGGCCCUUUUUGAUGAGAAUGCCAAUGUGUUUUUUGAUGGGAAAAUUGGUAUUUUUCCAUUCACACUAACUGUUCCAGCUCAGAGAAUGAGUAAAAACAGAAAUGCAAGGACACUAGAGACAAAGUCAAUAUAGUCCAUUUCCAAAGUGGUGAUCAAUGAGUGCUUGAUCAGUCAAGUAUGGAGAGGAAGAGAGACAUGCAUGCAAUGUAAAAGCCCACUUUAUUUUGUAGAAUUAGCAUGCAAAGUGUAACAUAUGUCAAAGCUUUCAAGUUUAUUGUUUUUUCAGUUUAUUCCAACUAUCAUGCCUAAAUGGCCACAAAGUGCAUCCAAGUUGAUUUUCAUUCAACAAGAUAAUACGAAGCCACACAUAAGUGAUUCAGACUUAAAGUUCAAACAUGUUGCCUCACAAAAUGGCUUUGAUAUUAAACUAGUUCACCAACCACCCAACUCACCGAACACGAAUGUCAAUGACUUGGGGUGGUUUAAGGCUAUUCAAAGCAUUCAAGAGGAGUCAGUUUGCACAAAUGUAGACCAAUUGGUGAAUGCGGUUUGCAAAAGCUUCUUAGAGCAUCCACAAUGCUUGCACCCAUAGUGGGUGCAAUAGAAUGGGUCCCACUUCUAUUGCACCCACUCCCACAAUGGUAUUGCACUCACUAUGGGUGCAAUAGAUUUUAUUUUAUUUUUGAAUUAGUUUUAUUCUAGUUUCCAUUUUACAAUAAUUAAGAAAUUAAAAUUUCAUUGAAUUAAAAUUCAAAUCCUACAUUGUUAGAAAUAAAAGAAAUACAAGAAAUUAAAAUCCUAAAUUACUUAAAUUAAAACAAACAAUAAAUAAAAAUCCUAAAAAUCUACGGGAUGUUGUGUCGUUGCUUGAUCUCCGCCACCUUGCACAUGUGAAACGCCAAUUCGUCGGGAUUCAUUUGAGAGGUGUCCCGGCUCAUCAACAUGCUAUCGGCGAGGUCACGUUGAACUUGGGAGAACGUUUCCAUUGCAUUCACCAUAUUCGCCAUGUACCCGAGAGCUUUUUGGUUAUCCUCCGACGUCUCUUCGGCCUUUUUCUUGCCUUUCCGCUUGUCUCUCUUGGCCGCCUUUUGGCCUUGGGGCCGGGUGGAGAUAGAGGCGUCACUAGAAGUCGUUGUGGGAAGACCGUCGGACCCCUUUGAUCGUUUGUCCGAAUGGACAUCGGAGUGAACAUCCCCGCCGAGACUUGAAAAUUUCUUCGACUCGCGCAAGAUCUUCCAUGCAUGCGAAUACCGAACGGAACACGGUACUCGGCUAGCCACAUUGCCUCUGCUUGCUCCAGGAUUUGAAUAUCACUCAUGCCUGAUUUCCAUUGAUCAUGGCAUUUUUUGUGCAUGGCCUCAAACCUCUUCGUAUCCUACGACACCCGUUGAAAGUGAGAUUUGAUUUGCGUGACGUCGCGUGAAAUAGAUCCUUUGGGCCUUUUAGCGUUGUACUCGGCGCAGAGGGAGCCCCAAAACUUCGCCCCUUUUUGAUCGACACCCACCACAGAGUCGUGGGUGUGCUCGCAAUACAAACGGCAAAUUAGCACCGUUUCUGCCGGAUAAUAGUUGCUACGUUUGGGCCGACCGGUGCUGCCUGCUGCUGCUGCUGCUGCCGGAGGAAGGAACCAGGCGGAGAAGGCGCCGGUGGAAGGGACGACCGGUGCUGGCAGGCUGAGAAGGCGCCGGUGCAAGGGACGACCGGUGCUGCCUACUGCUGCUGCUGCCGGAGGGAGGAACCAGGGGUCCAGGCGGAGAAGGCACCGGUGCCGGUGGGAGGCUGGAGGGAACCGUGGAGGAGGCUGGCUGCGAGUGGAAACAGGAAGGCCGAAGGUGGGGAUGGGAGGCGGCUGGGCUGCACGCUGGGAAGUGGGAAGGGUUCGAAAAGUGGGAACUGGGAAGGAAACCGCACGCUGACCGCCUAAAGUUCUAAACCCUAAAUUAAUUAAUUUAAAAAAAAACCGGUUAAUCGGUUUAACCGACCGGUUAAACCGAUUAACCGGUUUACUGGGAAAGUGCUAACCGAUAACCGAACCGAACUGGGAAAAACCGGUUAUCGGUUAACCGAUAACCGAUUUUUUCUGUUCGGUUACGGUUUUAACCGAAAAACCGACAACCAUGUGGUCACUUAGUCCAAUACUUAAACAAAGUAUUUUUAUCCUUACAAGGUUGCAUGAUGACAAAUGAAAGUGAAAGGGCAUAAUGCUUACAAACUGCCUCAGAUGAGCAAUGAUGCUCUCAUAAGACAGAAUGCAUUGCCCAUCAUAUUGGAAGUAGACAAGCAUCUAGUAGAUGAGUGUAUCAUGCACAUGAUACACUCAUGGGAAGAAGGAAAAAUGCAUGGCAUCAUGGAAGACUUGGGCUAUGAACAUCAAGCUCAUAUCAAUUUCAUGUAAGACUAAACAUUAGACUCUUUUUGAGCUAUCGGGGUCGUAUUAUCAACUGGACCUCGCGACGGUCAAUUUGGGCGAGAAUAUGAAAGAAGGCUACUGUUCAGCCGAUCCUCAAUCGAGGCCGGCGGCGGGGGACGAUGAAUGCAAAAAAAUGGGCGCCAUUCUACACGCUCGAAGAAGCCGACCUCAGAGCUGUAUUUGGAUCGAGGAGACGAACGAUGCCAUUCAUGGCGUCGACCAAAAGUUGAUGCCUAUUGGGGGAGAGUGUUGGAGAAGAUCAACGCAAUGGUGUUCAAGCUGUUCACAGUCCAACGGGUGAAAAGUUAUUGGGGCGUAUCACAGCCGAUGUGAAGCUUUGGUAGGCAACAUGGGUUAAAGCCCAUGCCAAGUGGCCAUAUGGUCAUAGCGACGACAUGAUCCGGGAGAAGUUGCAAACCUUGUACACAUCCAGAAAUAAGAGCGUUCAAUUCGAACGGUGGAAUGUGUUGAGAAUUAUUCGAGAACUGAAAGUUCAAGUCCUUGUAUCUCGAGAGCGAAGUUCAUUCCUCAAAGAGGACAAAAAUGUCGGAGAAUGGUGAUUUCACAGCAUCAGCGUUAGGCAAAGAAAUUUCUUCUACCCCACUAAUAGGUAACAAGGUGGUGGCGAGGGCGACGGUCAAGUGCAAAUGAUCACAAACCUCGAUGCCCUCCACCGAGUUCUUGAACUAUAUGGGCGAGACAUAAGUAAAUCUCACUGCAAUCGUCAAAGUCAAUAAGGAGAAGAAUCGGCUCAAGCGCAAAGUGCUAGGCAACAAAAUUUUGUUCAUGAAUACAUUGAGAAUGACACCGAGCAACAAGAAAUACAUGUACAGUGGGUGGUGACAUUCUCGCACGAAGUGGAGCCGGAGAUGACUGAUUUUCAUGUUUUUAAUUUAUGUUGUUUAAAAUCAUGUAAUUUAAAUUUAUGUUAUUUAAAUUAAAUCAAAAACUCAAAACUAGUUCAUAUGAGUUAAUAUAAUGAGUCAACCUAAUACAACAUUUGACUCAUAAGUGGACCUAUAGCGUGGAUAAGUCAAACAUUGACUCAACCAAUGUGAAUGAUCUUAUGUAAUAUUGAUAUUCUUUCAUAUAUUUUAGGCAAAAAUAUCAAACAAGCUUUUAUUAUCGAUCUUUCACAAUGAUAUCUAGAAUUAUUAUAAAAUAUAAAUAUAACGAAAAUCCAUCAUUAAUGAAAUAUCUACUUUAAAAAUGUAUGAAUCCUAAUAAUUCAAGUCCAUUAAUUACACUAACAAUUUUCAUCUUAUUAAGGAAAUUAUGACACAAAAUCAACAAGAGGCAGAAAAAUAUAAGAUUAAUUGCAGAAUCAUUGAAUUUUUCACUCAAAAUCUCAUAAAAUUUGUCAUCAAUCAGAAAAUUAUGUGUUUUUUUCGUUUGAUAUUUGAGACAUUUAACAACUGACGAGCCCAAGUUUUGUGCUCUUUUUCUUUAUUUUGUUUAGGUCUAGAUUGAGUCAUUUGUGUGUGUUUGUGCUUGUUUUUGUGUCUGGGAGGACACUUGUUUGGCAGGGCCUCGUGGAUGCUAUAAUGGGCAAGAUGGAGCAAA
Molecule: long non-coding RNA, 11406 nt
Filed under: Salvia miltiorrhiza (redroot sage)
Lineage: Eukaryota; Viridiplantae; Streptophyta; Magnoliopsida; Lamiales; Lamiaceae
Description: long non-coding RNA (SMIL_LNC006522)
Source: RNAcentral